Nematostella vectensis (starlet sea anemone) is the source of this 278-nucleotide long non-coding RNA. RefSeq lists it as uncharacterized. NCBI's taxonomy places the organism in Eukaryota, Metazoa, Cnidaria, Anthozoa, Actiniaria, Edwardsiidae. The transcript is spliced from 2 exons. The record is from RefSeq and is a predicted model, not a curated record.
AUGUUCUGUUUCCCAGGGGUCUGUGCGCUCGAUGUCUCGAAUCAACAAGACCGCACAGGCGACCAAACGAAGCUUAGAAAGAAUUUCAAAUAAUUUUUGAUCCGACGCGCGCAUGGAUAUCCAAUCAGAAAGCAGCAAAUGGAAGCCAGCGACGUGCAACCCAAAAGUCCCGCAAAAGUCCCACAAAUUGUACAACAUAUCGGAUGAGGUCAGCGAGUCCUGCCCGGAGUUAUUUUAAAUACAGACUGCGACUUGGAAAAUAAAACACAGUAACCUAA